UGAUAUUAUCUAUGUGCAUAAAGAGCAAUAAAUUAUAUUAGAAAUAUAAUAGAGGCAAAAAAAUAAACAAACAUGACAAGAAUACCAUUGUCCACCU
Molecule: ribosomal RNA, 97 nt
Filed under: Thalassiosira minuscula
Lineage: Eukaryota; Bacillariophyta; Thalassiosirophyceae; Thalassiosirales; Thalassiosiraceae
Description: partial Trypanosomatid mitochondrial large subunit ribosomal RNA
Source: RNAcentral